GCUUGCUCACUCUGCUGUACGAGCGGCGGACGGGUGAGUAAUGCUUGGGAAUAUGCCUUAUGGUGGGGGACAACAGUUGGAAACGACUGCUAAUACCGCAUGAUGUCUACGGACCAAAGUGGGGGACCUUCGGGCCUCACGCCAUAAGAUUAGCCCAAGUGGGAUUAGCUAGUUGGUGAGGUAAUGGCUCACCAAGGCGACGAUCCCUAGCUGGUUUGAGAGGAUGAUCAGCCACACUGGGACUGAGACACGGCCCAGACUCCUACGGGAGGCAGCAGUGGGGAAUAUUGCACAAUGGGCGCAAGCCUGAUGCAGCCAUGCCGCGUGUGUGAAGAAGGCCUUCGGGUUGUAAAGCACUUUCAGUAAGGAGGAAAGGUUAAGUGUUAAUAGCGCUUAGCUGUGACGUUACUUACAGAAGAAGCACCGGCUAACUCCGUGCCAGCAGCCGCGGUAAUACGGAGGGUGCGAGCGUUAAUCGGAAUUACUGGGCGUAAAGCGUACGCAGGCGGUUUGUUAAGCGAGAUGUGAAAGCCCCGGGCUCAACCUGGGAACUGCAUUUCGAACUGGCAAACUAGAGUGUGAUAGAGGGUGGUAGAAUU
Molecule: ribosomal RNA, 599 nt
Filed under: Pseudoalteromonas shioyasakiensis
Lineage: Bacteria; Pseudomonadati; Pseudomonadota; Gammaproteobacteria; Alteromonadales; Pseudoalteromonadaceae
Description: bacterial SSU rRNA
Rfam family: Bacterial small subunit ribosomal RNA
Source: RNAcentral